Molecule: transfer RNA, 75 nt
Filed under: Deltaproteobacteria bacterium RBG_16_64_85
Lineage: Bacteria; Deltaproteobacteria
Also listed under: 3 other names
Description: tRNA-Cys
Rfam family: tRNA
About the family: Transfer RNA (tRNA) molecules are approximately 80 nucleotides in length. Their secondary structure includes four short double-helical elements and three loops (D, anti-codon, and T loops).
Source: RNAcentral
GGCGGCAUAGCCAAGUGGUAAGGCAGAGGACUGCAAAUCCUUUAUCCCCCGGUUCAAAUCCGGGUGCCGCCUCCA